GUUGUUGGGUAGGGGAGCGUUCUGUAAGCCUGUGAAGGUGUGCUGUGAGGCAUGCUGGAGGUAUCAGAAGUGCGAAUGCUGACAUAAGUAACGAUAAAGCGGGUGAAAAGCCCGCUCGCCGGAAGACCAAGGGUUCCUGUCCAACGUUAAUCGGGGCAGGGUGAGUCGACCCCUAAGGCGAGGCCGAAAGGCGUAGUCGAUGGGAAACAGGUUAAUAUUCCUGUACUUGGUGUUACUGCGAAGGGGGGACGGAGAAGGCUAUGUCGGCCGGGCGACGGUUGUCCCGGUUUAAGCGUGUAGGCUGACUUUCCAGGCAAAUCCGGAAAGUUAAGGCUGAGGCGUGAUGACGAGGCACCACGGUGCUGAAGUGACAAAUGCCCUGCUUCCAGGAAAAGCCUCUAAGCAUCAGGUAACAUCAAAUCGUACCCCAAACCGACACAGGUGGUCAGGUA
Molecule: ribosomal RNA, 452 nt
Filed under: Cronobacter sakazakii
Lineage: Bacteria; Pseudomonadati; Pseudomonadota; Gammaproteobacteria; Enterobacterales; Enterobacteriaceae
Description: partial 23S ribosomal RNA
Rfam family: Bacterial large subunit ribosomal RNA
Source: RNAcentral